GAUGGCAGAUUACAAAUGGUUUCUAAUUAAAAAAAUCAUUCGAUUUGUGAUCCUUUUUUGUCAGAUACGUUGUUUAAAUCAAUUCUGUUGAUGGAGCAAUGUGAUAUCAUAACGGAGAUUCAUUUUAAUUACCGUUAAUGAAUGUUCCGGUCAUUAAAAUAUAUUUUCUAUACCAGUGUAUAUUCAAAACGGCUGAAUAUGCGAAGUGACAAUCAUAAAGAAGAGUUUUAUUGAUCGUAAAGGUAUAUUGGUUAUAUUUUAUGCAGUUUGGACCGAGGAAGUUGAAAUGGAACUCGUCUUUCCAGCGAUCGUUUCGUGCCAACACGCUUAGGAACCAUCGUAUUACAAUAGCACACAUGUAGUUGACAAACAUGGGAGCGGCAUAUUGGGUCGAUGGCAAAAAGA
Molecule: long non-coding RNA, 405 nt
Organism: Apis florea (little honeybee)
Lineage: Eukaryota; Metazoa; Arthropoda; Insecta; Hymenoptera; Apidae
Source: RefSeq, a predicted model, not a curated record